RNAcentral lists this ribosomal RNA (180 nucleotides) under uncultured Glomeromycotina. Its description in RNAcentral is "partial small subunit ribosomal RNA". The stretch from base 89 to 180 matches the Rfam family "Eukaryotic small subunit ribosomal RNA", at positions 736 to 830 of the family's 1831-position model. Lineage: Eukaryota; Fungi; Glomeromycota. The record is from RNAcentral.
GGCCUGGCUGAUCUGUCCUCCUAAUCGAGCGCACGGAUUCGGUCGGGCCUUUCCUUCUGGGGAGCCCGAUGUCCUUCACUGGGCGUCGUGGGGAACCAGGACUUUUACCUUGAAAAAAUUAGAGUGUUCAAAGCAGGCCUUUGCUCGAAUACAUUAGCAUGGAAUAAUAGAAUAGGACAG